CGCACGGGUGAGUAACACGUAUGCAACCUGCCUGCCACAGCCGGAUAAUCGGGAGAAAUUCCGUCUAAUACGGCAUAAUGCAUCGACGGGACAUCCUGUUGGUGCCAAAGGUUAAUUCCGGUGGCGGAUGGGCAUGCGUCGCAUUAGUUAGUUGGCGGUGUAACGGACCACCAAGACGACGAUGCGUAGGGGUUCUGAGAGGAAGGUCCCCCACAUUGGAACUGAGACACGGUCCAAACUCCUACGGAAGGCAGCAG
This 257-nucleotide ribosomal RNA is filed under the name uncultured bacterium. RNAcentral describes it as "partial 16S ribosomal RNA". It matches the Rfam family "Bacterial small subunit ribosomal RNA", at positions 99 to 354 of the family's 1533-position model. The record is from RNAcentral.